AAGAAUUUAAGUUAAAUAAACUAUUGACCUUCAAAGUCAAAAUUAUAAAUUAAAAUUUUUUUAAUUCUUA
This 70-nucleotide transfer RNA is filed under the name Eucryptorrhynchus scrobiculatus. Its description in RNAcentral is "tRNA-Trp". The record is from RNAcentral. Lineage: Eukaryota; Metazoa; Arthropoda; Insecta; Coleoptera; Curculionidae.